Long non-coding RNA from Passer domesticus (house sparrow), 251 nucleotides. RefSeq lists it as uncharacterized. The record is from RefSeq and is a predicted model, not a curated record. The transcript is spliced from 3 exons. Lineage: Eukaryota; Metazoa; Chordata; Aves; Passeriformes; Passeridae.
AAGUCUUUAAUCUCUAGAGUGGGUUGGGAUUCCUCCCACCCACUUCCUCCUGCUGCUCCUACCAGGACGCUUUUUCCAUCAGCCUUUGCCUUGGACAAAGAGUACGCACCCACUGCUCUGUACAAAAGGGUGGGUUUGCCAUGCUCAGAGUCGCUUGCGUUGAAGGACAAAGAGCUCUUGGUGCGCCAUUCAUUGCGGUGGGGAAAAAAGCUUAAAAUUCAGCAAAACCCUGAGAAGAUGAGAAAAGACCC